Molecule: ribosomal RNA, 489 nt
Filed under: Euchrysops cnejus
Lineage: Eukaryota; Metazoa; Arthropoda; Insecta; Lepidoptera; Lycaenidae
Description: partial 16S ribosomal RNA
Source: RNAcentral
AAGUCUAAUCUGCCCACUGAUUUAUUAAAGGGCUGCAGUAAUUUGACUGUACAAAGGUAGCAUAAUCAUUAGCCUUUUAAUUGAAGGCUUGUAUGAAAGAUUUGAUGAAAUAUAAACUGUCUCUAAUUUAAAAUUAAAAUUUAAUUUUUUAGUUAAAAAGCUAAAAUAAUUUUAAAAGACGAGAAGACCCUAUAGAGUUUUAUAAUUAAUAAUUUUAAAUAAUUAUAUAAAAUUUUAAUAUUUAAUAUUAUUCAUUAUUUUAUUGGGGUGAUAAAAAAAUUUAAUUAACUUUUUUUCUUGUUUAUCAAAAAUAAAUGAUUAAUUGAUCCUGUUUAAAGAUUAAAAGAAAUAAUUACCUUAGGGAUAACAGCGUAAUAUUUUUUUUUAGUACAAAUAAAAAAAAAAGUUUGCGACCUCGAUGUUGGAUUAAGAUAAAAUUUAAAUGCAAAAGUUUAAAAUUUUGAUCUGUUCGAUCAUUAAAAUCUUACA